AUUACUUUUUUUUUUUUUUUUUUUUUCAGAAGAUCUAAGUAGUAUGAAGAGAAUUUAGCAAAAUUUAAAAGUUGUCAUGGUAACAUGAUCUUACAUGUAAGUUACUCUGUGGUUUUAGGCAAAUGAUACCAAGAGCUGCCAACUAAUAAAGGAUUAUCUUUUUCUGUAUGAAAAAUUUAUUUCAAGUGUUGCAAUUAAACAUUAUUUAAUUUACUUAUUUUAAAAAGUACACAUUUUUAUUAGUCAAACAGCAGAUUACUGGCUGUAAUUAACUUGAGACACUUAGGCAGUUCUUUAGAAGAUACUCCAUAUUCUUGUUCAUCCAAUUUUUCUCCCUCCCUCCUUCUGUGGGUUUCUAUUUGUAGCCUGGACCAAAGUUGGCACUCUGUGAUGUUGGAAAAUACAGCUAAAACUCACUCAAUUGUUUAGCCUUUCUAGCAGGGAGGGGGUGGAGAGGGAUUAAAGAGAUUGCUCUGACAGAACAUCUCAGUUGUUUGCAACAGCACCUUUAAAAUAAAGGUUGUAAUUAAUUAAAUGCAUGACAUUGUGAUGAACUUCCAUGGGAAGAAGGUUACAGACGUGGAAUCUAUUGCAAGUGCUGACUAAAAAUACCACUCCUUAAUAAUUAACACAGAGCGGGACUGAUGCCAGUGCAGUACAUGCUGCUGCUAGAUGAAUUAGUGUUGCUUCUAUAUGCAAUUAAGCUUGAAGUCUUGUUCAAAGGCUGACUUUACUAACUGUGCUAAAACCCUCUUGUGUCCAUGGAUGGGCCCAGAACAAGUGGUGUGUGCCACAGAUUGGCCUAAGUGUUGCCACUUCUUGGCUAUUUACAAGCUGCAGUUCUCAGCGCACAGUCUGCCCCACGCCCAGCGCUUUAGAAGGCAUGAAGCAGCAUGUCUGAAACUCUGGCUGCCCUGCAGGGGUCUCUGUGGAUGAACACCCACCUUGCUGUGUCUGUCUCGCCACUGAGGGAGCCUCAGCAAGAACUGAAGAAAAAGAGAGCUGAGCUCUACUGAAAGGCAUGUGUGAUGUGCCAAGCAGCAAAAAGCAGAAAGGCUGGUUCUACUGCCUGAUAAUUACACUGAGCUCCCUCCUGCAAGAACAAAGUAGAGCUCCUGGGAGAAAUAGUCAUUUCCUAUUUAGAUUUUCCACAUCAUAACUGAAUUUGUUGCUCCCAGUGAUUAUUACUUCUUUGAGUCCUGUUGAACCUCUUCUGCCUGUUCCAAAAGCCUGGAUAUUCAGGGUAUAAAGAAGAAGAAAGGAAGAGAAAGAGGCUGGACAGUGCUGGUCCUUACUGUAAUGUGCAAAUUCAGGAUUGAUCACUUACAUAUGCUUAGUGUUUCUGGGUAACUGGCACUUGAAAUCUGGACCAUAAGCCAAGUGCUGUGAAGAGGUCUGGACCUUAGACUGAUGGAAGGCAGAAUCUGUGUCCUGAUACAGAAGCCACUGUAGAAGAGUCAUUUCAGGAUGGGAAUAAGAUGAGACAUGGGGCAGAGUACAUUCCCAUGGUGCUGAAUUGACUCUUCUCCCUGGAAUGAUGCAAGAAAUGGCUCAGCAACUGGGAUUAAGGAGGGAUUCUCCUUAAUGAGAAUCGGAAUGCAAACUACAAGUAUCAGGAAGACUCUUGGUUUAAACAACAGGUUUUAAAAAUCAGCUCUUCAAAACUACCACGUCCCUUCAGCUGAAAGAUCAAUAGCAACUUGUGUGGAGAUCUCCAAAAACGCAUCAAGAUUCAGUACAUCUUCUCCAGAACAGUUCAAGCUCGGUUGGUUCGAUAAAUCACAGCGUGGGGGUCCAGGCACUGAAUUCUGUCAUCCCAUCACACCAACGUAAAACAAUGCACUCCUCUACUUAUUGCAUGUUUUUCAUUUGACAAUUUACCUGCCGCUGCCUUCUUUCUGCAGUCACUCAGGGGAGUGCUUUAUUACAUGUUAAAAGACAAGAUAUGUAUUGAAAGUAGCAAUUUUAUUUGAGUUAAAAUUAUUUACAAAAACCCAAAGACAUACUUCAUGAAACUGGUACAAACUAUUUUUCCUGCCGUUGGCUUUUGCUCCAAAGAUCACAGCUGAGAAAUACUGUAUAAAAUAAAAAUAGGAUUGGAUUCAGAAAAGUACUCUACUGUUCUAAUUUCCAAUUGAGAUUAUUUACACAAAUAUUUACAAUGGAAAAAAAGUUACUUUAAAACUUUAAUUUGCAAGUUGGCCUCAAGUACCCUUUAAUGCAGAGUUAUUUGAGGGUCUAACACACAAAAAUGCACUGCAGCUCACAGGGUGAUUUCUCCCCCCACCCUCAAAGAAAAAAAAAGAUCUGCAUUUGUCAGUGCUUGACAAUUAGUUACAUUGAAAAGAACUGUUAAA
Molecule: long non-coding RNA, 2357 nt
Organism: Gallus gallus (chicken)
Lineage: Eukaryota; Metazoa; Chordata; Aves; Galliformes; Phasianidae
Exons: 6
Source: RefSeq, a predicted model, not a curated record